GGGGAUGACAGGUUUCGACGGGGGAGGCUGGGCGGUUGUAGCAAGCCGAAGCGCACAGGACUUCGUAAAAAUGUGCAAAACUUUAAGUGCCAACAACAGCACUUCAAGCUUCGCUCUCGCUGCCUAAUCAGCUUGAAUGAAGCCGAUUACUCUACGGAGUAAUCCGUCCGACUGCAUCAGGCACCGUUGGUGCAGCAUCGGGCGAGACCAAUACGGUUGCUGCGGCCUCGUGACGCCGAUAAGCGAGGUCAAAGAGACAUCGGCUAGCAGCUACGCACCCUGUCCGCCGGGGGCGCAGUGAGCGAAACUCAAAUAGCCGGACUACGCUUGUAGAAGCAGUCGUUCAAAAUCUUUCGGACAAGGAGUUCAAUUCUCCUUCAUCUCCACAA
This 389-nucleotide transfer-messenger RNA is filed under the name Anaerolineae bacterium. It matches the Rfam family "transfer-messenger RNA". Rfam says of the family: Bacterial tmRNA, also known as 10Sa RNA or SsrA, is named for its dual tRNA and mRNA-like properties. Its role is to liberate the mRNA from a stalled ribosome. The record is from RNAcentral. Lineage: Bacteria; Bacillati; Chloroflexota; Anaerolineae. RNAcentral also lists the same sequence under 1 other name.